GGGGGUGUCGUAUAGUGGUAAUACACCGCUCUCCAAAAGCGUAAACGUGGGUUCGAUUCCUACCACCCCUGCCA
Molecule: transfer RNA, 74 nt
Filed under: bacterium
Lineage: Bacteria
Description: tRNA-Trp
Rfam family: tRNA
About the family: Transfer RNA (tRNA) molecules are approximately 80 nucleotides in length. Their secondary structure includes four short double-helical elements and three loops (D, anti-codon, and T loops).
Source: RNAcentral